Molecule: small nuclear RNA, 119 nt
Filed under: Sciurus vulgaris (Eurasian red squirrel)
Lineage: Eukaryota; Metazoa; Chordata; Mammalia; Rodentia; Sciuridae
Description: U5 spliceosomal RNA (ENSSVLG00005018686.1)
Rfam family: U5 spliceosomal RNA
About the family: U5 RNA is a component of both types of known spliceosome. The precise function of this molecule is unknown, though it is known that the 5' loop is required for splice site selection and p220 binding, and that both the 3' stem-loop and the Sm site are important for Sm protein binding and cap methylation.
Source: Rfam by way of RNAcentral
AUGCUCUGGUUUCUCUUCAGAUCGUAUAAAUCUUUCGCCUUUUACUAAAGAUUUCCGUGGAGAGGAACAAUUGCGAGUUAUCACCCAAUUUUUUUUUAAGGUCUCACCCUGUGAGGCCU